This 411-nucleotide ribosomal RNA is filed under the name Bemisia tabaci. Its description in RNAcentral is "partial 16S ribosomal RNA". The record is from RNAcentral. Lineage: Eukaryota; Metazoa; Arthropoda; Insecta; Hemiptera; Aleyrodidae.
GUUCUUAAUCCAACAUCGAGGUCGCAAUUUAUUUUGUAAAUGAGAACUUCUCAAAAAUUUUGCGCUGUUAUCCCUUAGGUAACUUGUUUUAUUUCAUAUUUGGAUAAUUUAAUUUGAUUUAAAUCAUUUUUUUAUAUCUAAAGAUUUAUUUAUUUAAAAAUCUCCCCAAUCUAACAAAUUAACCAAAUGAAAUUAAGUUAAUUUGUAAAGUUCUAAAGGGUCUUCUUGUCUUUUGAUUUUAUUUAAGAUUUUUCACUUAAAUAUUAAUUUUUACUACUUUAGUUUAAAAAGCUUGUUUCACAUUAUUUCUUUCAUUCAAGCUUUUAAUUAUAAAGCAACUUAUUAUGCUACCUUAGUACAGUUAAUUUACUGCAGCUAUUUAAUUUACUCAUUGAGCAGAAUUUAUCUAAA